Micropterus dolomieu (smallmouth bass) is the source of this 383-nucleotide long non-coding RNA. RefSeq lists it as uncharacterized. NCBI's taxonomy places the organism in Eukaryota, Metazoa, Chordata, Actinopteri, Centrarchiformes, Centrarchidae. The transcript is spliced from 2 exons. The record is from RefSeq and is a predicted model, not a curated record.
UAUGACGUCAUCCUGCCCUCAUAAAAAAUCUUUUUUAUUAAAUCAACUUUCUUUAAUUAAUAUAAAAACAUAAAUACAUGUAGGCAUCAGGCUAAUCCCAAAACAGUCCAGGGCAGAGGAUCGGAGUAACCAACAACUCACUCGUUCUGCAAAGGAUGCGGGCUAUAACCCAGAUUGCUGCUAGACUUCCCCGGUAAUUCAGGUGUGCCUCCCUUUGUGUGCGGCAAGCGGGAGAGCAGUUUUUCCGACCGUAAUGAAAAGGCUAAACGGCAACAAAUAUGGAUUGAAGCAGAAUAUUUUGUUAGAUAAAAUAUGUUGUGAAUUUUGGAAAUGAAAAUAACAUCUAUAAUUUUUCAAUAAAUUUUGACUUUGGGACUUUUCAA